Molecule: ribosomal RNA, 301 nt
Filed under: uncultured bacterium
Lineage: Bacteria
Description: partial 16S ribosomal RNA
Rfam family: Bacterial small subunit ribosomal RNA
Source: RNAcentral
CAGCCGCCGCGGGAAUACGCAGGUGGCAAGCGUUGUCCGGAAUUAUUGGGCGUAAAGGGCUCGCAGGCGGUUUCUUAAGUCUGAUGUGAAAGCCCCCGGCUCAACCGGGGAGGGUCAUUGGAAACUGGGAAACUUGAGUGCAGAAGAGGAGAGUGGAAUUCCACGUGUAGCGGUGAAAUGCGUAGAGGUGUGGAGGAACACCAGUGGCGAAGGCGACUCUCUGGUCUGUAACUGACGCUGAGGAGCGAAAGCGUGGGGAGCGAACAGGAUUAGAUACCCGCGUAGUCCCUGUCUCUUAUAC